GGACACCUACGGGGCGCAGCAGUAAGGGAUAUUGGUCAAUGGGAGAAACCCUGAACCAGCAAAGCCGCGUGAGGGAAGACGGAUUUCGGAUUGUAAACCUCUGUCCUCUGUGAAGAUGAUGACGGUAGCAGAGGAGGAAGCUCCGGCUAACUACGUGCCAGCAGCCGCGGAAAUACGUAGGGAGCGAGCGUUGUCCGGAUUUACUGGGUGUAAAGGGUGCGUAGGCGGCUUGGCAAGUCAGUAGUGAAAUCCAUGGGCGUAACCCAUGAACGGCUCUUGAAACUGUCGAGCUUGAG
This 296-nucleotide ribosomal RNA is filed under the name uncultured bacterium. Its description in RNAcentral is "partial 16S ribosomal RNA". It matches the Rfam family "Bacterial small subunit ribosomal RNA", at positions 333 to 646 of the family's 1533-position model. The record is from RNAcentral.